AGGUCAUAGUAGUGUGACGUGUAAAAACAUUGUUAUAUUUUGCCGUCCCGAUAUUCCGGCAACCGUAUGAAAUUGUUCUAUCAUCUAGUUGACAUCGUUUGCUAUACACAUCCCAUUAAAAUACUUGCACCAGAAAACAUGUUUAUCCUCUUGUAUUUCUCCGCACUUGUCAUCCCUCAGCUAAGUUCCAUUUGUGCUAGUUAUUUUUAGUGUGGCUGUAUGCCAUUUUUAUUCGAUUUAUGGUUCUUCAUAAGCUCCAUGAAAGGAUUUU
This is a non-coding RNA of Cinara cedri, 271 nucleotides long. The record is from the annotation of a GenBank genome assembly. Lineage: Eukaryota; Metazoa; Arthropoda; Insecta; Hemiptera; Aphididae.